GAUGAACGCUGGCGGCGUGCCUAAUACAUGCAAGUCGAGCGAACGGACGAGAAGCUUGCUUCUCUGAUGUUAGCGGCGGACGGGUGAGUAACACGUGGAUAACCUACCUAUAAGACUGGGAUAACUUCGGGAAACCGUAGCUAAUACCGGAUAAUAUUUUGAACCGCAUGGUUCAAAAGUGAAAGACGGUCUUGCUGUCACUUAUAGAUGGAUCCGCGCUGCAUUAGCUAGUUGGUAAGGUAACGGCUUACCAAGGCAACGAUGCAUAGCCGACCUGAGAGGGGGAUCGGCAACACGGAAACUAGGACAGGGUCCAGCUUCUACGGGAGGCAGCAGUAGGGAAUCUUCCGCAAUGGGCGAAAGCCUGACGGAGCAACGCCGCGUGAGUGAUGAAGGUCUUCGGAUCGUAAAACUCUGUUAUUAGGGAAGAACAUAUGUGUAAGUAACUGUGCACAUCUUGACGGUACCUAAUCAGAAAGCCACGGCUAACUACGUG
This 496-nucleotide ribosomal RNA is filed under the name uncultured bacterium. Its description in RNAcentral is "partial 16S ribosomal RNA". It matches the Rfam family "Bacterial small subunit ribosomal RNA", at positions 28 to 507 of the family's 1533-position model. The record is from RNAcentral.